GACGAACGCUGGCGGCGUGCUUAACACAUGCAAGUCGAACGGAAAGGCCCUGCUUUUGUGGGGUGCUCGAGUGGCGAACGGGUGAGUAACACGUGAGUAACCUGCCCUUGACUUUGGGAUAACUUCAGGAAACUGGGGCUAAUACCGGAUAGGAGCUCCUGCUGCAUGGUGGGGGUUGGAAAGUUUCGGCGGUUGGGGAUGGACUCGCGGCUUAUCAGCUUGUUGGUGGGGUAGUGGCUUACCAAGGCUUUGACGGGUAGCCGGCCUGAGAGGGUGACCGGCCACAUUGGGACUGAGAUACGGCCCAGACUGCUACGGGAGGCAGCAGUGGGGAAUAUUGCACAAUGGGCGGAAGUCUGAUGCAGCAACGCCGCGUGCGGGAUGACGGCCUUCGGGUUGUAAACCGCUUUCGCCUGUGACGAAGCGUGAGUGACGGUAAUGGGUAAAGAAGCACCGGCUAACUACGUG
RNAcentral lists this ribosomal RNA (468 nucleotides) under uncultured bacterium. RNAcentral describes it as "partial 16S ribosomal RNA". It matches the Rfam family "Bacterial small subunit ribosomal RNA", at positions 28 to 507 of the family's 1533-position model. The record is from RNAcentral.